RNAcentral lists this ribosomal RNA (500 nucleotides) under Acinetobacter sp. RNAcentral describes it as "bacterial SSU rRNA". It matches the Rfam family "Bacterial small subunit ribosomal RNA", at positions 71 to 566 of the family's 1533-position model. Lineage: Bacteria; Pseudomonadati; Pseudomonadota; Gammaproteobacteria; Moraxellales; Moraxellaceae. The record is from RNAcentral.
CGAGGGUGCUUGCACCUUAGCUUAGCGGCGGACGGGUGAGUAAUGCUUAGGAAUCUGCCUAUUAGUGGGGGACAACAUUCCGAAAGGAAUGCUAAUACCGCAUACGCCCUACGGGGGAAAGCAGGGGAUCUUCGGACCUUGCGCUAAUAGAUGAGCCUAAGUCGGAUUAGCUAGUUGGUGGGGUAAAGGCCUACCAAGGCGACGAUCUGUAGCGGGUCUGAGAGGAUGAUCCGCCACACUGGGACUGAGACACGGCCCAGACUCCUACGGGAGGCAGCAGUGGGGAAUAUUGGACAAUGGGCGGAAGCCUGAUCCAGCCAUGCCGCGUGUGUGAAGAAGGCCUUUUGGUUGUAAAGCACUUUAAGCGAGGAGGAGGCUACUUAGAUUAAUACUCUAGGAUAGUGGACGUUACUCGCAGAAUAAGCACCGGCUAACUCUGUGCCAGCAGCCGCGGUAAUACAGAGGGUGCGAGCGUUAGUCGGAUUUACUGGUCGUAAAGC